CCUACGGGAGGCAGCAGUGAGGAAUAUUGGACAAUGGGCGCAAGCCUGAUCCAGCCAUGCCGCGUGCAGGAUGACGGUCCUAUGGAUUGUAAACUGCUUUUGUACAGGAGGAAACACUGGUUCGUGAACCAGCUUGACGGUACUGUAAGAAUAAGGAUCGGCUAACUCCGUGCCAGCAGCCGCGGUAAUACGGAGGAUCCAAGCGUUAUCCGGAAUCAUUGGGUUUAAAGGGUCCGUAGGCGGUUUAAUAAGUCAGUGGUGAAAGCCCAUCGCUCAACGGUGGAACGGCCAUUGAUACUGUUAGACUUGAAUUAUUAGGAAGUAACUAGAAUAUGUAGUGUAGCGGUGAAAUGCUUAGAGAUUACAUGGAAUACCAAUUGCGAAGGCAGGUUACUACUAAUUGAUUGACGCUGAUGGACGAAAGCGUGGGUAGCGAACAGGAUUAGAUACCCUGGUAGUCCACGCCGUAAACGAUGGAUACUAGCUGUUGGAAGCAAUUUCAGUGGCUAAGCGAAAGUGAUAAGUAUCCCACCUGGAGUACGUCGCGAGAAGAGAACGUACGAAGAAGUAGUACGGCGUGAGACGUAGACCGACGGACGACGACGAGGGAGGAGGG
This 616-nucleotide ribosomal RNA is filed under the name uncultured bacterium. RNAcentral's name for it is "bacterial SSU rRNA". The stretch from base 1 to 533 matches the Rfam family "Bacterial small subunit ribosomal RNA", at positions 338 to 873 of the family's 1533-position model. The record is from RNAcentral.